AAUGAACGCUGGCGGCGCGCCUAAUACAUGCAAGUCGAGCGAGAAGACGUAGCAAUACGUUUGUAAAGCGGCGAACGGGUGAGGAAUACAUGGGUAACCUACCCUCGAGUGGGGAAUAACUAGCCGAAAGGUUAGCUAAUACCGCGUACGCUCCUUGGACUUCGGUUCAGGGAGGAAAGCGAUACCGUGGGUAUCGCGCUCUUGGUUGGGCUCAUGUCCUAUCAGCUUGUUGGUGAGGAACGGCUCACCAAGGCUUCGACGGGUAGCUGGUCUGAGAGGACGAUCAGCCACACUGGCACUGCGAC
RNAcentral lists this ribosomal RNA (305 nucleotides) under uncultured bacterium. RNAcentral describes it as "bacterial SSU rRNA". It matches the Rfam family "Bacterial small subunit ribosomal RNA", at positions 29 to 325 of the family's 1533-position model. The record is from RNAcentral.